This 1694-nucleotide ribosomal RNA is filed under the name Sclerococcum haliotrephum. Its description in RNAcentral is "partial 18S small subunit ribosomal RNA". The stretch from base 1 to 1481 matches the Rfam family "Eukaryotic small subunit ribosomal RNA", at positions 669 to 1831 of the family's 1831-position model. The record is from RNAcentral. Lineage: Eukaryota; Fungi; Ascomycota; Eurotiomycetes; Sclerococcales; Dactylosporaceae.
CCGCGUGUACUGGUCCGGCCGAACCUUUCCUUCUGGGGAAUCUCAUGCCCUUUACUGGGUGUGUUGGGGAACCAGGACUUUUACUUUGAAAAAAUUAGAGUGUUCAAAGCAGGCCUAUGCUCGAAUACAUUAGCAUGGAAUAAUAGAAUAGGACGGCAGUUCUAUUUUGUUGGUUUCUAGGACCGCCGUAAUGAUUAAUAGGGAUAGUCGGGGGCAUCAGUAUUGAAUUGUCAGAGGUGAAAUUCUUGGAUUUAUUCAAGACUAACUACUGCGAAAGCAUUUGCCAAGGAUGUUUUCAUUAAUCAGUGAACGAAAGUUAGGGGAUCGAAGACGAUCAGAAGAAAAUAUGCAGGAAUGAAGAAUCAAAUUUUCAGGUAAACUUCCUAAAAACCGAACUGUUCAUUCCUGCGGGGGGUGCUUGGUCGUCCAUAGCUAAAAGCUAGUUAAAGGUUAGUUGUGCCCUCAUUGGCAGGUAAACAGCCAGGUAUUGGCAACUAUAAGAUAGUUAUACGUAGCUAAAAAUUAGUUGCCAACAGCCAAUUGUUUAGUUACAAGCACAACUAGCAUUUAGCGGUGUCACCUAAUUGAGGAGCUUCCAUAAAGGAUGAUCCACAGCAAAAUUAUAGGUAUUCAUUAUCUAUAAUGAGUCUACAGACUCUCUGGUGAUAGGCUAAGUAUUUGAUACUUAGUUCAAGAUAUAGUCGGUUCAGUAUGGCUUACAUAUUAGAAUUAACGCAGAUACCGUCGUAGUCUUAACCAUAAACCAUGCCAACUAGCGAUCGGAUGGUGUUUCAUUUUUGACCCAUUCGGCAGCUUGUGAGAAAUCAAAGUGUUCGGGUUCCGGGGGGAGUACGGUCGCAAGAUUGAAACUUAAAGCAAUUGACGGAANNGNNCCACAAGGCGUAAACAAAUUAUUAGCUGUAGCUACUCUGCGCCUAAAAGCGAGCCUGUUGAUAUNNAAACUUUAUCCGGGUCAGUGGNNNNNNNNNNNNNNNNNNNNNNNNNNNNNNNNNNNNNNNNNNNNNNCUGCGGCUUAAUUUGACUCAACACGGGAAAACUCACCAGGUCCAGACAGGAUAAGGAUUGACAGAUUGAGAGCUCUUUCUUGAUCUCUUGGGUGGUGGUGCAUGGCCGUUCUUAGUUGGUGGAGUGAUUUGUCUGCUUAAUUGCGAUAACGAACGAGACCUUANCCUGCUAAAUAGCCAGGCUAGCUUUUGCUGGUCGCAGGCUUCUUAGAGGGACUAUCGGCUCAAGCCGAUGGAAGUUUGAGGCAAUAACAGGUCGGAUAUUCACAGGCUUGUUUACUUAUAUGUUCAAGCUAUGAAGCUUGGAACGCUGCUGGUAUCGAGGACAUUGUCUUAAAUGACGAUCGAUUCGGUGAUGAGCAUCUACAAGUGCCAUCUCAACGCGCGGUAGGCAGCGGGGUUCUUCCUAGGAAGACCUUGAGGUACGUGCUGGAUGUGCGGUCUCUAAGAUCGCCGUGCAUUGUUAGGUGUGAUGGCCAAAGAAUGCACAAAAAGAGAAAGACAUGAAUUUUUAGACCAGACUCGAAAGAAUAAGAAUGUGAACACUGGAGGCCCAACCUAUAUGCUUAACAUUCUUCCUGUUUUGGUCUUCUAGUUCUAGGUCUAUAGUUCCUAUUCUCUUUCACGAUUACGCUGUGAUGCCCUUAGAUGUCCUGGGCCGCACGGUAC